Trichonephila clavipes is the source of this 73-nucleotide non-coding RNA. Lineage: Eukaryota; Metazoa; Arthropoda; Arachnida; Araneae; Nephilidae. The record is from the annotation of a GenBank genome assembly.
GUCCCUGUAGCGCAAUGGACAGCGCGUUGGACUUCUAUCCCAAAGGUCGAGGGUUCAAAUCCCGCCUGAGAUG